This 89-nucleotide transfer RNA is filed under the name Pseudomonadota bacterium. RNAcentral describes it as "tRNA-Ser(cga)". It matches the Rfam family "tRNA". From Rfam's summary of the family: Transfer RNA (tRNA) molecules are approximately 80 nucleotides in length. Their secondary structure includes four short double-helical elements and three loops (D, anti-codon, and T loops). Further hydrogen bonds mediate the characteristic L-shaped molecular structure. tRNAs have two regions of fundamental functional importance: the anti-codon, which is responsible for specific mRNA codon recognition, and the 3' end, to which the tRNAs corresponding amino acid is attached (by aminoacyl-tRNA synthetases). tRNAs cope with the degeneracy of the genetic code in two manners: having more than one tRNA (with a specific anti-codon) for a particular amino acid; and 'wobble' base-pairing, i.e. permitting non-standard base-pairing at the 3rd anti-codon position. Lineage: Bacteria; Pseudomonadati; Pseudomonadota. The record is from RNAcentral.
GGAGAGGUGUCCGAGUGGUUUAAGGUGACAGACUCGACAUCUGUUGUACGUAAUGCGUACCGGGGGUUCGAAUCCCUCCCUCUCCGCCA